This is a long non-coding RNA of Neofelis nebulosa (Clouded leopard), 762 nucleotides long. RefSeq lists it as uncharacterized. Lineage: Eukaryota; Metazoa; Chordata; Mammalia; Carnivora; Felidae. The transcript has 3 exons. The record is from RefSeq and is a predicted model, not a curated record.
CGGGGAAGUCGCACAGUCCGGGAGUGCUGGGCCGGGUGGGAACCUUAGGGUUACUGUUCUGUCGGAGCCAGAGUCCUCCCAAGCCGAGGAAAAUAACCCCGAAAGUACUAGUUCCAAAGUCAGGCCUUGGCAAUCACUAGCUGCGCAACUUCUGGCAAUGGCUGCGGCGGUUAACUGAGCACCUCCAAACUUCAGCCUCCUUAAGAGCCCUCUAGAGGCCUUAGCGCGUUGAAUUUUCACAAUCCUUGAGUGUCAGUUGGUUGCAGAGCUCAUUCUGUACAAACAAGCCUAGCAAGUCACUUACUCGACUAAAGUAUAAUGAUCGCUGCUAUACUUGUUGAAAGCAUUGGAAAUACAUAAAAACAUCUAAUGGUGCCUCACAUAUCGAGAUGAUCCCCCAGGAAAAGUUGAAGGAUGCUGCAGGGGCUUCAACUCGGGCACAAUCUUGAAACUGAAGCUCUACCUUGGCUGUUGGGAGGUGAUGCCAUCAACGAUUUUUUUUCAGCUCAAGCACAUAUCCUCCUUUAUUCAGGAUGGCAAUAAUAAAGUGGCUCUAGCUGCUUACACGGUCUCACUUCCUCCUGACAAUGACCUGUAUCUCUGUCACCUCUGUGUCCUUGGCAUUAAGCAUGAUGCAUGGAAUAUAGUACUACUUCAAGUUGUUUGAUGAACAACCCUCUGAGUCGAAGAGAGAUGACUCCUUUGACUCCUGGGUCUUUGACUCUUGGUUCUUGAAAUUAAACUACUUUCUGUAUGUUUAUU